UUCUAAGUUCUGUUGCAAUAAUUUGUUAAUCAUUUCCAAUGAUUAUUUCCUUUCUUUUGUCCUAGUUUUGCGGAUCUUUUGCCUAGAGGCAACUGACGUAACAAACUCAUGGCUAUAUAGCCAAGUUUGAUCGUAAGGAAAAGUAUCAAUGAAUUAAAUCAAUCUCUUCUCUCUGAAAAUUCUUCUACUCCCUGGAGUGUUGCAAAGCUCUAAGUAGCUAUCCUUCUCUACACUACCAGACAUAUCAGUUUAGUUUAGACUUGAGAUACAUGAAUGCACAAUGGAUAUGUUAUAUCUUCUCUACACCCGGACCCUAGGUAUUCAACUUUCCACUCCAAAAUCCAAAACCCUAUAUUCUUCCCUAUUAUUUAUAUAUCCUAUCAUAUGUCCUCUAACUAGCUAUCUAACUAGCUGAUUAUUUUGUAUCUCCAUUGCAUGAUCAGUGGCAAAGAUCAUAUCAUGAAAAUUCUCAUUCUAAANNNNNNNNNNNNNNNNCCAACAAACAACUCUCUGCCACCGUGAUUCAGCCAAUACAUUGCAACCAAAUACCCUUUUCUGUUGAUCUUGUUACCUGAUCUGCCACACACCAAGAGAGGUAAAGCUAUGAAGGGUGAAAGAUAGAGUUUCAUGAAAAAUGAAAAUAAUAAUGCAAUCUGCCAUAUGUGGCGACGGUGGACGGUGGCAAGGCAUCCGCUAUGACUGCCAUGGCCGUGGCGGAGCAUUGGCAGCGGAGCACUCUGACAUUUCCUCGGCAGUAUGAAGGAAGACUAUCAUGGUAGACAGGUUGGAGGCAAGUCAACUGCAGGAUGGGAUGCCGCCGUACAUGACGGGUGGCCGGAUGUCACUUUAUGAAGUAACUGGUCUUUCUCCUCCCUUAAUUCCUUAUUUAUUACUUUAGUUGCAGAUUUUGUACAAUUAUUUCAAUUAUUUUUUUUAAUUUUGCUUAUAUUCUUG
RNAcentral lists this long non-coding RNA (954 nucleotides) under Trifolium pratense (red clover). RNAcentral's name for it is "long non-coding RNA (TPRA_LNC008077)". Lineage: Eukaryota; Viridiplantae; Streptophyta; Magnoliopsida; Fabales; Fabaceae. The record is from RNAcentral.